UACGGGGGGGGCAAGCGUUGUUCGGAAUUACUGGGCGUAAAGGGCUUGUAGGUGGCCAACUAAGUCAGACGUGAAAUCCCUCGGCUUAACCGGGGAACUGCGUCUGAUACUGGAUGGCUUGAGUGUGGGAGAGGGAUGCGGAAUUCCAGGUGUAGCGGUGAAAUGCGUAGAUAUCUGGAGGAAUACCGGUGGCGAAGGCGGCAUCCUGGACCGAUACUGACGCUGAGGAGCGAAAGCCAGGGGAGCAAACGGG
Molecule: ribosomal RNA, 253 nt
Filed under: uncultured bacterium
Lineage: Bacteria
Description: partial 16S ribosomal RNA
Rfam family: Bacterial small subunit ribosomal RNA
Source: RNAcentral